RNAcentral lists this long non-coding RNA (255 nucleotides) under Hordeum vulgare. RNAcentral's name for it is "long non-coding RNA (HVUL_LNC018181)". Lineage: Eukaryota; Viridiplantae; Streptophyta; Magnoliopsida; Poales; Poaceae. The record is from RNAcentral.
AGUAUGUGGCACCAACUGGCAGGCCAGGGGGAAGAGAAGGGCGGGCGAUGCAGACGUCCGUCCUGUGUCCACGUCGAUGCAAAUCCGACCCAAAUUUAAGCCUAGAAUGGGUCACAAACGACAAACCGUGUGACAUAUUUCAUCCACGCGCGUUCGUUUGGCUCUGUGCGUUGGGUCGUGUUUUCUGUUCGCGAUGACCCAAAAGAAUGUGCGUGGACGAAAUGGAUCGUCCGGUUGCUUUUGGUCUGAAUAACG